GAUUAACGCUGGCGGCGUGCAUAACACAUGCAAGUCGAACGAUGAAACUUAACUGAUUUCUUCGGAAUGAUUUUAAGUGGCUUAGUGGCGGACGGGUGAGUAACGCGUGAGUAACCUGCCUUGGAGAAGGGGAUAGCCUUUGGAAACGAAGAAUAAUACCCUAUGAUAUGAUAAUAUCUCAUGAUAUUAUCAUCAAAGAUUUAUCGCUCUAAGAUGGACUUGCGUCUGAUUAGUUAGUUGGUGAGGUAACAGCUCACCAAGGCAGCGAUCAGUAGCCGGCUUGGGAGAGUGGACGGCCACAUUGGGACUGAGACACGGCCCAGACUCCUACGGGAGGCAGCAGUGGGGAAUUUUGCACAAUGGGGGAAACCCUGAUGCAGCGACGCCGCGUGAUUUAGAAGGCCUUCGGGUUGUAAAAAUCUUUUGUAUGGGAAGAAAAUGACAGUACCAUACGAAUAAGGACCGGCUAAUUACGUG
RNAcentral lists this ribosomal RNA (477 nucleotides) under uncultured bacterium. RNAcentral's name for it is "partial 16S ribosomal RNA". It matches the Rfam family "Bacterial small subunit ribosomal RNA", at positions 28 to 507 of the family's 1533-position model. The record is from RNAcentral.